Molecule: long non-coding RNA, 7365 nt
Filed under: Lactuca sativa (garden lettuce)
Lineage: Eukaryota; Viridiplantae; Streptophyta; Magnoliopsida; Asterales; Asteraceae
Description: long non-coding RNA (LSAT_LNC003645)
Source: RNAcentral
UAGCUUGAUGUCUUCAAGCUUUAAGAGCUUAGCCCCAAUAGUGUGGAAGCCUCAAAUGGAAUCACAAAUCACCAAAACACCUUGGAAGACUUUAGAGAAUAUGGAUACUUGGUUCUCUCUAGUGAAAUUGGCUAGCCCUUCUUAGUGUACCACACUAGUGCCCAUUUCACCAACCAAGGACAUCUUUAUAUAGUGUGGAGGAUUAGGGUUAAACCCUAAUACCCAUGACCUUUCAUUUCCUAGGAUCCAUGGGUUAAACACUCCAUGGACUAUCCAUGAAAGCUUAGCCCAACCUAAAUGAACUUGGCCCAUUCCAUAUAUAUAAGAGUCCAUAUUUAAUUAGUUCCUUUUGAUCACUUAAUUAAUUAUAAAUUAAUUCUUGAUCAAUACUAAUUAAAUAAUAUGAUUCCAUAUUAAUAUAUUAGAACUUAUAAUAUAUUAAUAUUAAUCAUAAACAUACUAUUCUCAAAAGAUUAUCCAUAUAAAUUGUGUCGGUGAAGUGCAACCCAAAUGGACCAUGCCGGGUCGGGUCAAGUACAUACCAAAUAUAGUUAUGGACUUAGACAUUAAUCCAACAGUCUCCCACUUGGAUAAGUCUAAAACUAUUAUUGCGUAUGACUUCAAACCUAACUGGCAAUCGUAGCUCUUAAAGCCGCUGUCGAACUCUGAUCUUGUCAACGAACUUGUCCAUUAGAUAAGGGAUCAUAUAUUCCUCCAUUCUAGAUAUCAUAUGGACUGAGACAUGGAUUAUAAUCAUUCUCUCUGUCCAUUUGUUGUUUCCCGAUUUCCGAUUUAUGACGACUGACUAAUUGAACAAAUCAAAUCAGUCCUGGCCCGGCCGAGCACUUCCAUUUGUCAUCAUCAAAUCAUCGAGGGGCCCACAGAUAUCGCUUUUAUCCCGAAGGUAAAAGGAAUGGAUAAACUUCGACUCAUAUGGCUUGUUCUACUACUUGUUGAAUCAUACACAAAGGCACGUUUUAUAGCACCGAGUUACCAAAUGCGUUUUCGUGCAAUCAAUGUACAACCAACUCAUAGUAACAACUCAUAUCUCUAGGUUUGAAGAAUAUAAGAUAUUAUCGUCUCAUGAUCACUCGUGAUAAAAUCCAUGAAGUGAUUCCAAUGAGCGCGGGUUGAAUCCAAUACUCAGAACUUAUGAGCACUCAUGAGUGUUGUAGCCCUUUGUCCAACACCUUAGACCUCUACAAGCCAACCCAUGACAGUCUUAAUUCAUAUCUACUUCCAACAUAUGACCGACUGUGGAUGGUUUGAAUAACUUAGUCAUUCCGGAAGAAUAACCUAGUUUAUUCGGGAAGUCAAAACAUGCAAAGUGAAACACAAUAAUAAUUGAAUCCAAUAUGGUAUCAACCCUUUGAACAUAAAUAAAACACCUUUUAUUUAUCACCAUAUGAUUACACAUUAUUCAUUGUAUACUGUUUCAGCUAUCAACUUUAUUCUUGAAUUUAAAACAAUAGUUGUCCCAUGCUCCAAGCAUGUACACUAUGUUUUCUUAAACACUAGUCAUGCCACACACCAAGUAUGCAUACUAUGUUUGUCUAUGAUCUUUACUUUGUGAACUAGAUCAAUUGAACAUAACUUCAAUGAUUCUCUUUUCACACUCCCAAAUCCUUACUGCAAAUGCAAGAAUUCCAAAUUCAUGCCAUUUACUGAAAUCUGUUAGAUUCUAAACUUAUAUGCAUUGAUCCUCUUGUAAUGAUUAUGCACAAAGUCACAAAGACUUGGCAACAAUCAUUACAGAGUAUUCCAAAGGAGAUCAACUCCUUGGAAAUAUCCUUCUUGCAUUAAGUUUCCUUAAUCUUACACAGAUUGAAAAUUCUAACUUUGAAACAUUUCCAGAUUCCAUUUUGACUAUCACUUCUGAACAAGAGUUGCCUCCUUACAGAUUAUGUCAAUAUGGUCCUUCCAGAAUUAUCACUAUACUUCCAAUUGUCCUUGAGUAACCAAUCUUUGGUAAACCUUAGAUUGUCCUCGACAAUUGUUUAAUCCUUUUAGUCAUAUCCAGUUCUAAACCUUUUCCCUUCUUAAUGCCCCAGGCAUUUGGAAAAUUUUAGAACGGAUGAAUAUAGCACAUGUAAUCGAUCCUAUAUCCGAAGCAUAUGGGACACGAUUCAUGAUGUCUUACAUAAAGACUAAACCAGUCUUUUGCUAUAAUAUUUCCAUUUCAAUUUGCCAAGUUCUCAUAAUUCAGAUUAUGAAAAGGGAUGCCGUAAUCAUAAUCGAAUUUUAGAACGCAAAUAAUGGACCCAUAUACAGAAUUUCCUUAUGUUGAGCCAUUCCAACAUGAAAUUCAUAUAUAUCCUUGACUAAAUGAUUAAAACCUCACGAUCUAAGCUUAUAGAUUUGAGAUGAAGCAUAAUUUCCUCUCCCUUAAUUAUAGCAAAACAACUUUUUCCCAAUUGAAACUUUUGUUUUCUAUAAUUAACAUUGCUAACUUGCAAUACUUAUCAUAAUUAUCAUGCUCCCACUAACAUGAUGAUUAUUAGCAUAACACUUAUGCUCCCACUAGCUUUGACAUGUACUCAGAAAUCAGCUGGACAGUCUGAAAUUUAGAUUCAUACACCCUUUCCGUAGAUAGCUCACCUGUGUGUCUAAGCAAUUUCAAGAACCAUGAAAAGGGAUACCGUAAUCAUGGUCUCAAUUGCUUAGGCAUUUGCCAUUUCUCACAAGUCCAUGUUAGUGUGCCGGUUAACCACACGCGCUCCACUAACGACUUUUGAAAAUGCAAAUAACACAAUUGAUAUCUUCGUAAAAUCUACUUAGUGAAAGCGUUUCCUCACCAUCAUUUUCAUGAAUCGGAGAGAAACCUUAUGACACUUAGAUUUAUAUGGUGUAUGAGUUCCUACCCAUAUGAAUUUGUCAAACCAUAAUCACAAGACAAAGAUAAUGACAAAUCCAAAACCAUAUGGAUUGAACUCAAUCUUAACUUCUUGCCACCUGGCAGCUCAAGGGCCUGCCAUUGCUUCCAAGUUGUUGUGCAACAAAUUGAGAACUCUAAGAACUCAUAUGCAAAACCAACUUUAACUGGAAUGGGCACAGAAUAUGUCAACACGAUAGGUUAUGAACCUCAAGUCGUGUGCUAGUGAAGAACUUUAGGUUUUAUUCUUGAUUAUUUCUUGAGACUUUCAAGACCUUUAAGACUCCCACUGUCCUCUUGACAUAUAAGACUCCCUUGUCAAACAUCCAAGAGAUAGUGCGGAUUCUAAUCAAGAAAAACACUUUACCCAAUUGGCCUAAGUUGGUCUUUGUUUUAUCCAAAACAUCACAACUUACCAAUUUCAAAUGUACAAGAGUAGAAAACUUUUACUCUUACAUUUGACAAGUGUUUUAAACCUUCUUUAAGACAUGUCACUCAAAUGACAAUCUUGGAGUAUGACUCUAAGACUUGUAUUGGAACGAAGUAUGACUCAUCUUCUUGAUUUAACCAUUUCAACAAUUCAAGUUCCUCUUCUUAGUCAUAAGAAUGCACUAAGAUUUCCUUAGAGAACUAAUUUUGAUAUGGUUUCUUAAUCAUUAAGAUGAUCACAAAACUGAUACUAAAGUACUCUCCCAUCUUUUCAGAUUUGAGAAACUUUUAUCCUUCUGCCUUAUUUGAUUCUUCUUAUCGAUCUUUAGUGGUGGACUUAAUCAGUGCACAAGAAUGUGUACUCGAUCCCUAAGUCCUUUACUUGACUCACACAUCCAUGUGAACAAGUAAUUAGUCUUAAUUUUCCAAAACUUGAAAGUUCUCAUUCAUCAUGCUAUACAACUUGCAUGAUUCCAAGUUCCGGUCCAAUUGAAACUUGGGUGAUGAGAAUCUUUCCUUAUUUGGUAAAUUUAGACAUUACCACAAAUGAAAGAAUCAAUUUCAUACUUCCACUCUUGCUACUAAUGGAAUCUUAUAAGCAACAAAAAUUUCCACAGAUGCCAUUGUAAGGAUAUUUUAAAAUAAAUAAAAUCAAAAAUUUCCUUUUAUUUUAAAACUUUGCGGAAAAACUAUCCUUACAAUCCAUAUGAAAACUUGUUGUUAUCUAUUCCUAAGCAAUAUCUCAUAACUCCUAAGAAGUAGCUCAAGAAUCCGAUUUUUCAAACUAUGCGAUAGAAAUCCAUCUAUGCGAUCAGAUUCAGCAUAUUCUUCCUUUAAGUUUCUUCACUUUCCUUUGAUUCUUAAACCAUCACCAUGCGACCCGGUCACAUCAUGUAUCAAGAAUCUCAGAAUAGAAACUUAACAGAGUUAGAUAGUGGAUUUUACCUGAAGUAGAGUCAAACUUAUUGACUUUAACAUCCUUAGGUAAAUUUGGCAGCUUCGCAACCAAUGCCCUUUCUUUGGCAAUACAAACAUAUGGACCCUUUGAUAAUGGUACACAGGACUAUCACAGACUUAGCUUUUCUCUUUACCAUUUGGUCAACCGAGUUGACUAUAGCCGAUCCCUUUCCAUUGGGAAGAGAAUGCUUUACUGGAUAUCCAAUGUCAUCAUUGUCAAUGUCCAUAAAGUUUUAGGAAGUUGAUCUUAGCAAAUAGAUAAGAUCAUUAAGGGUCUUGUCAUAGUCUGUUUCAUAGGUGUCCCAAAGGAACUCACUAUGUGACUUAGAAAGUGGUUGAACCACCAACUUUCUCAAGACUUUGACACCCAACUCUCCCGGCUUGUCAAUAUGUGACUACAUCUCCAAGAUGUGACCACACCUAGACCUUGCCUUGCCAAUAGGGCCUGAGUGACCUUAAACUUUUCAAGAACUUGUGGGUUAGGGAGAAUAAUUUGAAGAGGUGAAGAAGUAUGAUAUCCAUGGGACAUCAUCUUCAUUAGGAAACCUUGUUUCAAGAGAUUUGGGAAGAUCAUAGGUGUCUAAACCAGACAUCUUUUGGGAGAUAUUCAAGAUAGUUGAUUUAAAGUCCUUAAUAUGACACCCAAUAUGAAAUAUUAAGGCUAGGACCCAACAAACUAUUUUAUAACUUAGAAGAGGUAUGCCGUAAUCCAAGCUAUAAAAUAUUUGAAGGUAGGUGAAUGACGAUUCACCAAUUUCCACCAAGAUAAACGAAAUGUAUUAUUAGGUUUUAAUUGGUUUUGAAACUCCUAGAUCUUUGAGAUUCAUUGAACUUUUCAAAGGCAUGUUUCAAUCUCGAGUGUGCCCUUCAGGUUUUGUGACUGGGAUGCCGAGGAUCACAAAACAAGGUGUGAAGUAACCAUGCAAAUCACUUGGUACCCUUAAUAAAUUACCCCUCAAUCGAUGUGCCGGUUAACCACACACGCUCCAUCGAUACUAUGAUAAAUAUUAAGUCACCCUUUACCUACCUUGUUAAGUCCAAGUUAGUGUGCCGGUUAACCACACACGCUCCACUAACGACUUAGACAAAGUGUAAAGUGUAAUUUCAUGGAUUAGCACCUUAUUCACAUUUUUCCUAAGUAACUAAGAUUGGGUAUUAUUAAGAGUUUAGUUACUUAGUAUUAUCAUUAAUACUUUUAAUGAAGGGAGAAUUCUAGUCCUGUCAAACCCGUUCGGCUAACGACCCUCCACCAGUCAAGCAAGCGGUGGGUGAGAGUGGACACCCAUUAAGUUGCCAUUUUAUAGGCAACAACCUUAUACCCACCUUAUAGACCGGCUUCGUGAAUGAGGCGUACUAGCGGUAAGACUGACUUUACUCUUAUACAUAUAUAUAUUAUUAACUUAUAAUAUUAUAAAGUAUAAGGGUUGAAUUUUAACUUUUAAAAUUCUAAGGGCUAACUUGGAAUUAAAGUAUUCAUAAGUGAAAACUUUACAAAUUCCAAAACUUGAGGGCAAGUUUUGAAACUAUUCAAAACUAAUUAAUUCCAUAACUUAUGUGUUUAAAGUAGUUUUAAUCCAAAAACUCUUCAAGUUCCAUAACUUGAGGACAAGUUAUGGAAGACUUUAAACUAAUAAAAGAAUUAACUUUUCUUUAUUUUAUAACUUAUGGAAUUAAUUAAGGUUACACUUUUUUUUAAUUUAUUAUUUAAUGAAGAGACUCUUGGUCAUCCAUAACUUGAGGACAAGUUAUGGAGUCAUAAAACAAUUUAAUGAGGAAAAAGACUCUUCAUUUUGUAACCUAUGACAACUUUUAUGAGUUUUAAGAUUCAUAAAUGUGACUUAUAAGUUACAUAAACACAUUUUAUGAACUUCUUUUAGAUUAAUUUGGAUUAAAACCAACUAUCACAUAAUUUUAUUCAUUAAUCUAAAUUCACUCAUAAAACAAGGUAACACAAAAAACUUUUGGUGAUCCAUAACUUAUUCUUAAGUUAUGGAAUCCUUUAAAACAUUAACACCAAAUUUUGUAACUCCAUAAAAACUUUGAAUCAAUUUUUUUUUAAAACCUUUUCAUAUCCAUAACUUAUGGAGGUUUCAAAAAAUAAAACUCUUUAGAUCAAACUUUUAAAACUAAUAAAAUAAUCAUAUUAUUUUAUCUUUUAUUAAAUUUGACCUAAUUCAACUCAUAAAGCAAAUUAUUCAAAUUUUACAAAUAAUUAGUUUUUCACAAGAACAAGUAAUUAUCUUAAAAUUUGACAAACUUCAUGGUUUAUUUUUUAUUUUUUUUUUUUUUUUUUUUCAACUUUGAAAAUAAAAUAUUUGCAUCAAUAUAACAGAAAACAACCCUAGGCUCUGAUACCACUGUUGGGUUUUGAGCAUUCUAACACUCCUAUGGUGUACAUGCAACCCUAUAAACCUUGGAUCUAUGUUUUCUCUAUAAUACAUGCAAAUAAGAACUUUCCAAGGCUUUAAUCCUAACUAGCAUAUUAUGAAGUUCUUAUACUACAAAGUACUAGUUAGAUGACAUACCUUUUGAUGUAGCUUGAUGUCUUCAAGCUUUAAGAGCUUAGCCCCAAUAGUGUGGAAGCCUCAAAUGGAAUCACAAAUCACCAAAACACCUUGGAAGACUUUAGAGAAUAUGGAUACUUGGUUCUCUCUAGUGAAAUUGGCUAGCCCUCUUAGUGUACCCACACUAGUGCCCAUUUCACCAACCAAGGACAUCUUUAUAUAGUGUGGAGGAUUAGGGUUAAACCCUAAUACCCAUGACCUUUCAUUUCCUAGGAUCCAUGGGUUAAAGACUCCAUGGACUAUCUAUGAAAGCUUAGCCCAACCUAAAUGAACUUGGCCCAUUCCAUAUAUAUAAGAGUCCAUAUUUAAUUAGUUCCUUUUGAUCACUUAAUUAAUUAUAAAUUAAUUCUUGAUCAAUACUAAUUAAACGAUAUGAUUCCAUAUUGAUAUAUUAGAACUUAUAAUAUAUUAAUAUUAAUCAUAAACAUACUAUUCUCAAAAGAUUAUCCAUAUAAAUUGUGUCAGUGAAGUGCAACCUAAAUGGACCAUGUCGGGUCGGGUCAAGUACAUACCAAAUAUAGUUAUGGACUUAGACAUUAAUCC